UGGGGAAUAUUGCACAAUGGGCGAAAGCCUGAUGCAGCAACGCCGCGUGAGCGAUGAAGGCCUUCGGGUCGUAAAGCUCUGUCCUCAAGGAAGAUAAUGACGGUACUUGAGGAGGAAGCCCCGGCUAACUACGUGCCAGCAGCCGCGGUAAUACGUAGGGGGCUAGCGUUAUCCGGAUUUACUGGGCGUAAAGGGUGCGUAGGUGGUUUCUUAAGUCAGGAGUGAAAGGCUACGGCUCAACCGUAGUAAGCUCUUGAAACUGGGAAACUUGAGUGCAGGAGAGGAAAGUGGAAUUCCUAGUGUAGCGGUGAAAUGCGUAGAUAUUAGGAGGAACACCAGUAGCGAAGGCGGCGUUCUGGACUGUAACUGACACUGAGGCACGAAAGCGUGGGGAGCAAACAGG
RNAcentral lists this ribosomal RNA (403 nucleotides) under bacterium. RNAcentral's name for it is "partial 16S ribosomal RNA". It matches the Rfam family "Bacterial small subunit ribosomal RNA", at positions 355 to 776 of the family's 1533-position model. The record is from RNAcentral.